GGCCUCUGAUACAAGCUUUCGCCUUAAGAUGAGCCCAUGGCCCAUCAGCUAGUUGGUAGGGUAAAGGCCUACCAAGGCUACGACGGGUCGCUGGUCUGAGAGGACGACCAGCCACACUGGCACUGAGAUACGGGCCAGACUCCUACGGGAGGCAGCAGUGAGGAAUAUUGCGCAAUGGGGGAAACCCUGACGCAGCAACGCCGCGUGUGGGAAGAAGGCCUUCGGGUCGUAAACCACUUUUGCACGGGACGAAAAAGGGNUAUCGAACAAAUAUCCCCGAUGACGUACCGUGAGAUAAGCCACGGCUAACUCUGUGCCAGCAGCCGCGGUAAGACAGAGGUGGC
RNAcentral lists this ribosomal RNA (344 nucleotides) under uncultured bacterium. RNAcentral's name for it is "bacterial SSU rRNA". It matches the Rfam family "Bacterial small subunit ribosomal RNA", at positions 192 to 535 of the family's 1533-position model. The record is from RNAcentral.